RNAcentral lists this ribosomal RNA (465 nucleotides) under Vreelandella stevensii. RNAcentral's name for it is "partial 16S ribosomal RNA". It matches the Rfam family "Bacterial small subunit ribosomal RNA", at positions 338 to 795 of the family's 1533-position model. The record is from RNAcentral. Lineage: Bacteria; Pseudomonadati; Pseudomonadota; Gammaproteobacteria; Oceanospirillales; Halomonadaceae.
CCUACGGGAGGCAGCAGUGGGGAAUAUUGGACAAUGGGGGCAACCCUGAUCCAGCCAUGCCGCGUGUGUGAAGAAGGCCCUCGGGUUGUAAAGCACUUUCAGUGAGGAAGAACGCCUGGUGGUUAAUACCCAUCAGGAAAGACAUCACUCACAGAAGAAGCACCGGCUAACUCCGUGCCAGCAGCCGCGGUAAUACGGAGGGUGCGAGCGUUAAUCGGAAUUACUGGGCGUAAAGCGCGCGUAGGUGGCUUGAUAAGCCGGUUGUGAAAGCCCCGGGCUCAACCUGGGAACGGCAUCCGGAACUGUCAAGCUAGAGUGCAGGAGAGGAAGGUAGAAUUCCCGGUGUAGCGGUGAAAUGCGUAGAGAUCGGGAGGAAUACCAGUGGCGAAGGCGGCCUUCUGGACUGACACUGACACUGAGGUGCGAAAGGGUGGGUAGCAAACAGGAUUAGAUACCCUGGUAGUC